UUUAAAUCAAGACUGAAUAGUGUUCCAUG
RNAcentral lists this non-coding RNA (29 nucleotides) under Mus musculus (house mouse). Lineage: Eukaryota; Metazoa; Chordata; Mammalia; Rodentia; Muridae. The record is from RNAcentral.